Oncorhynchus tshawytscha (Chinook salmon) is the source of this 552-nucleotide long non-coding RNA. Lineage: Eukaryota; Metazoa; Chordata; Actinopteri; Salmoniformes; Salmonidae. The record is from Ensembl.
UGGAGGAUAUAUACAGGGGGUACCGGUACAGAGUCAAUGUGGAGACUAUAUACAGGGGGUACCGGUACAGAGUCAAUGUGGAGGUUAUAUACAGGGGGUACCGGUACAGAGUCAAUGUGGAGGUUAUAUACAGGGGGUACCGGUACAGAGUCAAUGUGGAGGAUAUAUACAGGGGGUACCGGUACAGAGUCAAUGUGGAGGAUAUAUACAGGGGGUACCGGUACAGAGUCAAUGUGGAGGAUAUAUACAGGGGGUACCGGUACAGAGUCAAUGUGGAGACUAUAUACAGGGGGUACUGGUACAGAGUCAAUGUGGAGGCUAUAUACAGGGGGUACCGGUACAGAGUCAAUGUGGAGGAUAUAUACAGGAGGUACUGGUACAGAGUCAAUGUGGAGGAUAUAUACAGGGGGUACCGGUACAGAGUCAAUGUGGAGGAUAUAUACAGGGGGUACCGGUACAGAGUCAAUGUGGAGGAUAUAUACAGGGGGUACUGGUACAGAGUCAAUGUGGAGGAUAUAUACAGGGGGUACCGGUACAGAGUCAAUGUGGAGG